RNAcentral lists this long non-coding RNA (751 nucleotides) under Gallus gallus (chicken). RNAcentral describes it as "lncRNA (ENSGALG00010023634.1)". Lineage: Eukaryota; Metazoa; Chordata; Aves; Galliformes; Phasianidae. The record is from RNAcentral.
CUUGCAAUUCUGUUACAACAUACCACCUACUUGCUCUUUCUUGGCCUCACAAAUUGUUUCUCUGAGGGGCUGCUACGAAAGAAGAAUAUACUUUUAUACCAGGAACUACCAUUUAAGUUAUCUCCUUCCAUCCAUAAUGCUGUUUUACAGACUGAAAUAAGAAGAGCUGGUACUGUUAAAGGAGCUCUCUCAAUCCUUUUUACUGGUGUUUUCCUGGAAAAAAAAAGUCACAGUGUUUGUUUGUUUUACAGUAUAUUUUGUUUUAGUUUUACUUGUGUUCAGCAAAGAUUAUUGACACUGAAAAGUGAAAGCCUGAGAAGAAAUGGAGGAGCCCAGAAAAAAUACUGGAAAGAAAGAGAAAGAAGGAUUGAAAGAAAGUCAAGAGAGAAGUACGCUAAGAAGCUGAGAAUUCAAGCUUCAGUUCCCAAAGAAGAGGGGCACCAAGAGAAUGGCCUGGUGGGAGCGCGUCUGUUAGCUGCGCCCAACUCACUGCAGCAUCAGAAACCGUUCACAGACACUCAGCCACUUCACUGGAAAGAAGUAGAUUGAACACAAGUAGCUUUGAGCUUUGCUCUUGUGAUUGAAGCCAGCUCACGUUUAGGUACCGCUGGACAAAACGGAACCGCGCGUCUCGAUAUCUGUCUCCCCUAGAGUAAGAAAUAGGUAGCAGUCCCUUAAUUCUUCUAACUUAGUUUAGAAUCAGUUAAUUAAUCAGUAGCUGUGACUAAUUACUCACUUCCAAUUAACCUGG